UCCAUUGGAUUAUGUUUGGGUGAGUUCUUCGUUCAUAGUUGCGCUCCUCCCGACUUCGAUUCCCUGUUCGAACACAAACCCAAACCUUUUCAUCUCCUUCCCCAAAUCAACACGAUCAUCCAUUAAUUUUAAUUCGCGCCCAAGUCCUUAGAACGCUCGAACCCAGUUUGGGUUCGAUAUUCCCGCCGACUUUCAAAGGUUUUCCGGUGGCGGCUGGCCCUGCAACCAAAACUAUUUGACUCAGACAGUCCCAACAACAACAUGUGAGCUUUGCAUGCUCGAAUCUACCCGUCGAUCAAAGAUUUCCAUAAGUCCACCUUGCGGUGGGUUUUUUCGACGAGGAUCGGAAUCUUUUUCGGCCAAUUUCAGGCCUUUGAGACCUUUUUUGGGUCCAGCCAAGGAUGAUCAUGAAUGAAUGGUACUCUUCUGCAAUGGCGGGAUUUGUUAUCUGUGGGGCAACUGAUUGGUUAAGUUAUUUCGAAGCGUUUUUCAUAGAAAUUGAUUUAUGCUGGACAUAGUUGCAUGAUUCAUAAUGAUUAGGCUUGAAUCAGAUUCUGUAAAUCAAUUUUGGUGGAGGAGUUGUUCCGUAGCCUGAGGAAGAACAUAGCAAUGUUUUUGAAACAAGGUCUGGCCGAAAUUUUUCUAUAAAAUUUCACAAUUUUUGAGUUUUAAGCCAUUCAAAUUGGUUUGUUAAGUAGGAAUAAAAAUACCAAUUAAUUAAAGAUUAGUAAUUUUCUCAAGAACUAAUUACUAACCAAAUUCACAUCUGCCUGUAUUAAUCUAUUAAGUAGGUUAUCUAUUGAUUUUUUUUUUUUUAGUGAUUUUGUGUACAGAGUGCUGUGUUGGAACCAACAAUGUUGUAUAGUCUAAUUAUUGUCCCUUAAUAUGAUUGAAUUUUAAUUAGUUGUAUGUAUAUCCAGAACUAAUGAAAGUAUUCAAAACUCUGAAUUUGUAGCUCUCAAAGUCCUCAGACCCAAAUUCCUCAACUUUUCCUCAAACCCACAACUUUGGCUUUGACCGUUCUUUCUCCUCCUUGGGUUCUAUUUUCGUCUCUGAUCCCUCGAGUAAGCAGUCAUUGCGGCCAGUUUUCAUGGUCGGCUUGGAUCUUUUAAGUUUGAUUGAUAAGGAUUAGUGAAAUAGUUUACACUAAACAUGAUUUGAUUAUAUCUUUCCUCUUAAGUUUAUUAUGCAGCUCCUUUUAUAGGCAAUGCUUCCCCUUAGUUCUGUUUAUUGGGUUCCUUUUGAAUAUCUUUUAUGAUGUCCAGCUUUCUCACUGUACAUUUGGUACCUGAGUAUUGGAUGUUAGCUUAGAGAUUUUGAAAUACCAAUGUUUUUUAGUUAUCGUAUUAUUUUGACCGUAUUAUUUGCUUUUUAUGACCUAAAAAAACAGUAAUGAAUGAUAAGAUGGGUUUUGAUUUAUAUAUGCAAAGUGUCUGUAACUGCUGCUUAUGAUAAUUUUGUUGGGGAUCCUAUUACUAUGCACUAGCUUGGCGCCAAUGAGUUUUUUUAUUUGAUUUGAGAGAAAUUGAGGAAUGAGAAAUUGUUUUUUGCUUAUGCUUUUUUUAGGUGCGUACUAAAUUGAAUGGCUAAUACAAAAUGUGAACCAAUCUUACUUUUUAAUUUUUGUGUGCCUGCAAAUCAUAUGCAAUUUAGAUUCAUUCAAUUCUUAAGUGAUCGAGUUCUAUUUUUAAUUUUUUUUGUAUUUUUUUUCAAUUCAUCGUUAUCGUACAAGACAAAGGAGACAUCAUUAACGACGCAUAUGGGUGUCUUUAGUGGAACAAAUCUUACCUUUUGAGCUUUGUACAGUUUUAAACGUUAUAGUCUCCCUGGGAAUAGGACCAUAGCUUUUGAAGAACAAUCCAUGAGGAUGACAUACUAACAUCCUCCAUUUUUGGCAUGUAAUAUAUGAUUGUAAAUAGUACUCUCUAGCUAUGGUGUACUACCAUCCCAAUUUUUGUCAUGUAAUAUAUGAAUGUAAAUAGUACUUUGGUUA
This is a non-coding RNA of Malus domestica (apple), 1993 nucleotides long. The record is from RefSeq and is a predicted model, not a curated record. NCBI's taxonomy places the organism in Eukaryota, Viridiplantae, Streptophyta, Magnoliopsida, Rosales, Rosaceae.